Molecule: small RNA, 65 nt
Filed under: uncultured Rhizobium sp.
Lineage: Bacteria; Pseudomonadati; Pseudomonadota; Alphaproteobacteria; Hyphomicrobiales; Rhizobiaceae
Description: S-element
Rfam family: S-element
About the family: This family represents a group of S-elements from p42d and related plasmids. The S-element has multiple functions and is believed to act as a negative regulator of repC transcription, be required for efficient replication and act as a translational enhancer of repC.
Source: RNAcentral
AGUCAAGCGUCUUGAGCGUCAUUUUGGCGAGCGGAUUUCUUUUGCCUGUUGAAAGGUGAAAGACA